GCACAAGCGGUGGAGCAUGUGGUUUAAUUCGACGCAACGCGAGGAACCUUACCAGAUCUUGACAUCCUGCGAACGCCCAUGAGGAUGGGCGGUGCCUUCGGGAACGCGGAGACAGGUGGUGCAUGGCUGUCGACAGCUCGUGUCGUGAGAUGUUGGGUUAAGUCCCGCAACGAGCGCAACCCCUGUUGCUAGUUACCAUCAUUAAGUUGGGGACUCUAGCAAGACUGCCUGCGAAGAGCAGGAGGAAGGUGGGGAUGACGUCAAGUCAUCAUGCCCCUUAUGAUCUGGGCUACACACGUGCUACAAUGGGCUGUACAGAGAGGAGCGAGGCGGUGACGCGGAGCGAAUCUUGAAAGCAGUUCGAAGUUCGGAUUGAAGUCUGCAACUCGACUUCAUGAAGUUGGAAUCGCUAGUAAUCGCGGAUCAGCAAUGCCGCGGUGAAUACGUCCCGGGC
Molecule: ribosomal RNA, 454 nt
Filed under: uncultured bacterium
Lineage: Bacteria
Description: bacterial SSU rRNA
Rfam family: Bacterial small subunit ribosomal RNA
Source: RNAcentral